AGCUGAUGCAACACGACGGCUUUUCCUCCCAGUUCCGUCGUUUCAGCUGUUCCCCUCUGGAGGUUUAUACCUUCACAAUUAAUGGGCCACGGUUCUCCGUCGGCCCUCUUUU
RNAcentral lists this small RNA (112 nucleotides) under Rhizobium esperanzae. RNAcentral's name for it is "ar15". It matches the Rfam family "Alphaproteobacterial ar15". The record is from RNAcentral. Lineage: Bacteria; Pseudomonadati; Pseudomonadota; Alphaproteobacteria; Hyphomicrobiales; Rhizobiaceae.